GUGCUUGCUUCAGCAGCACAUAUACCAAAAUAGGAAUGAUACAGAGAAGAUUAGCAUGGUCCUUGCACAAGCAUGGCACACAAAUUUGUGAAGCGUUCCAUAUAUUU
Small nuclear RNA from Ochotona curzoniae (black-lipped pika), 107 nucleotides. NCBI's taxonomy places the organism in Eukaryota, Metazoa, Chordata, Mammalia, Lagomorpha, Ochotonidae. The record is from RefSeq and is a predicted model, not a curated record.